Long non-coding RNA from Myotis lucifugus (little brown bat), 1138 nucleotides. RefSeq lists it as uncharacterized. The transcript is spliced from 4 exons. The record is from RefSeq and is a predicted model, not a curated record. NCBI's taxonomy places the organism in Eukaryota, Metazoa, Chordata, Mammalia, Chiroptera, Vespertilionidae.
CGCUUGAGCACAGUCCAAGAUGAAAGUUUCUGGGUUGUUUCCCUUUGCUUCCUCUCACCCUCGCUCCCCCUCGGAGCCGCAGAGCCAGCAAUUGUGCAAGAGGAGCCGAGCGCGCAGGGCGCGUAUCACGGAGCGCAUGGUACAAGCCGCCGGCUCGGUGAUUAAUUAUCAGUAGCCGCUGGCCUCGCACUAACACCUAGCUUUCCCGGCAGGGCCAGCACACCCAGCCGCCGCCAGCUCGGCCGGACGGAGGAGAGGCUCUGGGGAGGACGCCGAGGCUGCUCCGGAGUGAGCCCUUAGGGAAACCAUGAAGUAACCCUGCACAUUCCAGUAACACAAUUAUGACAAAAUAGAGCCCGACUAUGAAGUGAUCAAUUUUUUUGUAAAUGUUAAGCAAGAAAAACAGCAGAAACAAAAGUGCACAUAACAAUUCAAGAUUUCUUUAAAAAAAAAAAAAAGAAAGUAACUUACCUGUUGGGACAUUCUGAAUAAAAGAUUGUGACUCCCCGAGCUUGCCUUUGCUCAGUUUAACAGCUGCCUGUCAGGUGUGCAGGCAGCACUGGAGACCCAACCAUCAGCUUCAAACUCUCAGCCACUGCAUGUCAUUGGAUAGCAGAGCUAAGAGUCAACUGCACCGUUCCACUGUCAGGCACCAAAUGACACCCUGCACUAACCCCUCUCCAGACACUGAGAGAUACACACUUCUGCACGCUCCAAGCAGCACCACGAUCACAGACCGACGGUGCACGGGGUGAGGAGAAGCUGGGGCCCUUCCCAGGGAAUUUCCCCCAACAAUGCUUUCAGGUUAAAGAAUUGCAAAUACUAAAGGCUAUGUGUUGGCUUUCACACGUUGACUGAUAGUGAGAGAUGUACCAUGAAAAUUAAGAAGUACACCAACUAGGUCUAAAUGGCACCCACGAUAUUCAAGACAAUAUGGGAAUGGGAAUACCUCCACCUCAUCAAAACUCAUGCACAGAGUAAGAAACUCCCAUGCAGUUUACAAUGUAAAAACAGACUGGAGAAGUGAAGAAAAAGAUAACAUUUUGAAAGUGAUUUCUGAUGUUUAUGAUGUUCAACAUUUAAACUGUAUUUUCACAGAACUUCAAUAAAAUCCAACUUAUUGAUUGCUGUAAAUAAA